Molecule: long non-coding RNA, 280 nt
Organism: Mus musculus (house mouse)
Lineage: Eukaryota; Metazoa; Chordata; Mammalia; Rodentia; Muridae
Product: predicted gene, 51583
Exons: 3
Source: RefSeq, a predicted model, not a curated record
AGCCCUUUCUCCUUGGAUAUAGCCCUGUCUUUGAGAAAAGUGCUUCAAGAAGGCAGAUGUCCUCAGCAGAUGUCCUCAGCAGGCACGCACCCACGACCUUCCAUUCUUCAGUUUCAUCAGCUGCUUCUGUUAACCCUCAUGAUGAAGACAUCAGGAGUCAAGUCUGUUCUUCCACUGUGGAUUCCUGGGAUCAAACUCAUGUGAUCAGGUUUAUGUGGUCUGAGAAAGUUCCCCUAUAGAGGUCCAUUAUCACCAUGGCAGGAAAUACAGUUGUGUGAAG